Molecule: ribosomal RNA, 416 nt
Filed under: uncultured bacterium
Lineage: Bacteria
Description: bacterial SSU rRNA
Rfam family: Bacterial small subunit ribosomal RNA
Source: RNAcentral
CGACCGGCGCACGGGUGCGUAACGCGUAUCCAACCUUCCCGUACUCAGGGAUAGCCUUCCGAAAGGGAGAUUAAUACCUGAUGGUGUUCAAAUUUCGCAUGUUAUUUGAACUAAAGAUUUAUCGGUAACGGAUGGGGGAUGCGUGACAUUAGGUAGAUGGCGGGUAACGGCCCACCAUGCCUACGAUGUCUAGGGGUUCUGAGAGGAAGGUCCCCCACACUGGAACUGAGACACGGUCCAGACUCCUACGGGAGGCAGCAGUGAGGAAUAUUGGUCAAUGGUCGGAAGACUGAACCAGCCAAGUAGCGUGAAGGAUGAAGGUUCUAUGGAUUGUAAACUUCUUUUAUACGGGAAUAAAACCACCUACGUGUAGGUGCUUGUAUGUACCGUAUGAAUAAGCAUCGGCUAACUCCGUG